Molecule: ribosomal RNA, 482 nt
Filed under: uncultured bacterium
Lineage: Bacteria
Description: bacterial SSU rRNA
Rfam family: Bacterial small subunit ribosomal RNA
Source: RNAcentral
GAUCAGUGGCUCGAGGACGACGCUGGCGGCGUGCUUAACACAUGCAAGUCGAACGAUGAAGCUAGAGCUUGCUCUGGUGAAUUAGUGGCGAACGGGUGAGUAACACGUGAGUAACCUGCCCCGAACUCUGGGAUAACUGCUGGAAACGGUAGCUAAUACUGGAUACGACCUACGAAGGCAUCUUCUGUAGGUGGAAAGAAUUUCGGUUCGGGAUGGACUCGCGGCCUAUCAGCUUGUUGGUGAGGUAAUGGCUCACCAAGGCGACGACGGGUAGCCGGCCUGAGAGGGUGACCGGCCACACUGGGACUGAGACACGGCCCAGACUCCUACGGGAGGCAGCAGUGGGGAAUAUUGCACAAUGGGCGCAAGCCUGAUGCAGCAACGCCGCGUGAGGGAUGACGGCCUUCGGGUUGUAAACCUCUUUUAGUAGGGAAGAAGCGAAAGUGACGGUACCUGCAGAAAAAGCACCGGCUAACUACGUG